RNAcentral lists this ribosomal RNA (254 nucleotides) under uncultured bacterium. RNAcentral's name for it is "partial 16S ribosomal RNA". It matches the Rfam family "Bacterial small subunit ribosomal RNA", at positions 524 to 776 of the family's 1533-position model. The record is from RNAcentral.
CACGUAGGCACCAAGCGUUGUCCGGAUUUAUUGGGCGUAAAGAGCUCGUAGGCGGUUCGGUAAGUCGGGUGUGAAAACUUUGGGCUCAACCCAAAGCCUGCACUCGAUACUGCUGUGACUUGAGUCCGGUAGGGGAGUGGGGAAUUCCUGGUGUAGCGGUGGAAUGCGCAGAUAUCAGGAGGAACACCGGUGGCGAAGGCAGGUCUCUGGGCUGACACUGACGCUCAUGCACGAAAGCGUGGGGAGCAAACAGG